UACAGAGGUCUCAAGCGUUGUUCGGAUUCAUUGGGCGUAAAGGGUGUGUAGGUGGCGCCGUAAGUCGGGUGUGAAAUUUCGGAGCUUAACUCCGAAACUGCAUUCGAUACUGCGGUGCUUGAGGACUGGAGAGGAGACUGGAAUUCCUGGUGUAGCGGUGAAAUGCGCAGAUAUCAGGAGGAACACCGGUGGCGAAGGCGGGUCUCUGGGCCGUAACUGACGCUGAGGAGCGAAAGCGUGGGGAGCGAACAGG
This 253-nucleotide ribosomal RNA is filed under the name uncultured bacterium. RNAcentral describes it as "partial 16S ribosomal RNA". It matches the Rfam family "Bacterial small subunit ribosomal RNA", at positions 524 to 776 of the family's 1533-position model. The record is from RNAcentral.